RNAcentral lists this ribosomal RNA (254 nucleotides) under uncultured bacterium. Its description in RNAcentral is "partial 16S ribosomal RNA". It matches the Rfam family "Bacterial small subunit ribosomal RNA", at positions 524 to 776 of the family's 1533-position model. The record is from RNAcentral.
GACGAACCGUGCGAACGUUAUUCGGAAUCACUGGGCUUAAAGCGCGUGUAGGCGGGAGGGCACGUCCGUCGCUGAAAUCCCCCGGCUCAACCGGGGAACGGGCGCGGAUACGACCUUCCUGGAGGGGCGUAGGGGGACCUGGAACUUCCGGUGGAGCGGUGAAAUGCGUUGAGAUCGGAAGGAACGCCCGUGGCGAAAGCGAGGUCCUGGACGCCUACUGACGCUGAGACGCGAAAGCCAGGGGAGCAAACAGG